Non-coding RNA from Cordylochernes scorpioides, 69 nucleotides. NCBI's taxonomy places the organism in Eukaryota, Metazoa, Arthropoda, Arachnida, Pseudoscorpiones, Chernetidae. The record is from the annotation of a GenBank genome assembly.
UCCAGGGUAGCCGAGUGGUAAGCACCGGCGGUAAGCAGAAGGGUGUGGGUUCGAUUCCCGCCCCUGGAC